RNAcentral lists this unclassified non-coding RNA (230 nucleotides) under Hevea brasiliensis (rubber tree). The record is from RNAcentral. Lineage: Eukaryota; Viridiplantae; Streptophyta; Magnoliopsida; Malpighiales; Euphorbiaceae.
CUCUUUCCCCAAGAGAUUGCGCAGGCGACCUCCUAUGUUCCUUUGAAGAUCUCCUUACAGGUGAAGAAGACCUAUACUGGACAGGAGAAGGAGAACUUGAUCCAUAAGGCGAAGGAGACCUCCGACGAGAAGGCAUUGGUGAUCUCCUAUGGGCAGGAAUAGGUGACCUAUGUCUUGGAGAUGGAGACCUGUGAUGGGGAGUUGAUGGGGAUCUCUGAUACCUGCGGCGG